This 31-nucleotide ribosomal RNA is filed under the name Rhizoctonia solani. Its description in RNAcentral is "partial 28S ribosomal RNA". The record is from RNAcentral. Lineage: Eukaryota; Fungi; Basidiomycota; Agaricomycetes; Cantharellales; Ceratobasidiaceae.
AUUGACUUGGACAAUAAAAUAAUUAUUUUAU